GAUUAACGCUGGCGGCGUGCAUAACACAUGCCAGUCGAACGAUGAAACUUAAAUGAUUUCUUCGGAAUGAACUUAAGUGGAUUAGUGGCGGACGGGUGAGUAACGCGUGAGUAACCUGCCUUACACAAGGGGAUAGCCGUUGGAAACGACGAAUAAUACCCUAUGAAACUAUCACUUCGCAUGAAGCGAUAGUCAAAGUGUUAGCGGUGUAAGAUGGACUUGCGUCUGAUUAGCUAGUUGGUGAGAAAAAAGCCCACCAAGGCAACGAUCAGUAGCCGGCUUGAGAGAGUGUACGGCCACAUUGGGACUGAGACACGGCCCAGACUCCUACGGGAGGCAGCAGUGGGGAAUUUUGCACAAUGGGGGAAACCCUGAUGCAGCGACGCCGCGUGAUUUAGAAGGCCUUCGGGUUGUAAAAAUCUUUUGUAUAGGAAGAAAAUGACAGUACUAUACGAAUAAGGUCCGGCUAAUUACGUG
This 477-nucleotide ribosomal RNA is filed under the name uncultured bacterium. RNAcentral describes it as "partial 16S ribosomal RNA". It matches the Rfam family "Bacterial small subunit ribosomal RNA", at positions 28 to 507 of the family's 1533-position model. The record is from RNAcentral.